UUUCCGUUGGUGAACCAGCGGAAGGAUCAUUACAGAGAUCCUGCCCCUCGCGGGUAGACCUCCCACCCUGUGUUAUUACGAUUGUUGCUUUGGCAGGCCGCCUUCGGGCUCCCGGCUUCGGCUGGGGUGUGCCUGCCAGAGGACCCCAACUCUUUUGGUUAUAUGUCGUCUGAGCACUAUAUAAUAAGUUAAAACUUUCAACAACGGAUCUCUUGGUUCUGGCAUCGAUGAAGAACGCAGC
This 241-nucleotide unclassified non-coding RNA is filed under the name uncultured fungus. RNAcentral describes it as "sequence contains ITS1, 5.8S rRNA gene". The stretch from base 193 to 241 matches the Rfam family "5.8S ribosomal RNA", at positions 1 to 49 of the family's 154-position model. The record is from RNAcentral. Lineage: Eukaryota; Fungi.